GCCCUUUUCCGGUUGAUCCCGCCGGAGGCCAUUGCUAUCGGAGUCCGAUUUAGCCAUGCUAGUCGCACGAGUUCAUACUCGUGGCAAAUAGCUCAGUAACACGUGGCCAAACUACCCUGUGGACAAGGACACUCUCGGGAAACUGAGGCUAAUCCUUGAUACAGCUUCCAUGUUGGAAUUGCAGGAAGCUGGAAAAGCUCCGGCGCCACAGGAUGUGGCUGCGGUCGAUUAGGUAGACGGUGGGGUAACGGCCCACCGUGCCAGUAAUCGGUACGGGUGAUGAGAGUCAGAGCCCGGAGACGGUAUCUGAGACAAGAUACCGGGCCCUACGGGGCGCAGCAGGCGCGAAACCUUUACACUGCACGACAGUGCGAUAGGGGGACUCCGAGUGCGAGGGCAUAUAGUCCUCGCUUUUCUGUACCGUAAGGAGGUACAGGAACAAGUGCUGGGCAAGACCGGUGCCAGCCGCCGCGGUAAUACCGGCAGCACAAGUGAUGGCCGAUCUUAUUGGGCCUAAAGCGUUCGUAGCCUGCCAGCCAAGUUCGUUGGGAAAUUCACGUGCUUAACACGUGAGCGUCCAGCGAAAACUGUCUGGCUUGGGGCCGGAAGACUC
RNAcentral lists this ribosomal RNA (613 nucleotides) under uncultured archaeon. RNAcentral describes it as "bacterial SSU rRNA". It matches the Rfam family "Archaeal small subunit ribosomal RNA", at positions 1 to 609 of the family's 1478-position model. The record is from RNAcentral.